GAUGAACGCUGGCGGCGUGCUUAACACAUGCAAGUCGAACGGAAAGGCUCCUGCUUGCAGGGGUACUCGAGUGGCGAACGGGUGAGUAACACGUGGGUGAUCUGCCCUGCACUUCGGGAUAAGCCUGGGAAACUGGGUCUAAUACCGGAUAGGACCACAUUUUGGAUGGUGUGGUGGAAAGUUUUUCGGUGUGGGGUGAGCUCGCGGCCUAUCAGCUUGUUGGUGGGGUAAUGGCCUACCAAGGCGUCGACGGGUAGCCGGCCUGAGAGGGUGUACGGCGACAUUUGGACUGAGAGACGGCCCAGACUCCUACGGGAGGCAGCAGUGGGGAAUAUUGCACAAUGGGCGCAAGCCUGAGGCAGCGACGCCGCGUGUGGGAUGACGGCCUUCGGGUUGUAAACUCCUUUCGCUAGGGACGAAGCGUUUUUGUGACGGUACCUGGAGAAGAAGCACCGGCUAACUACGUG
RNAcentral lists this ribosomal RNA (467 nucleotides) under uncultured bacterium. RNAcentral describes it as "partial 16S ribosomal RNA". It matches the Rfam family "Bacterial small subunit ribosomal RNA", at positions 28 to 507 of the family's 1533-position model. The record is from RNAcentral.